CCCCAGACUCCUACGGGAGGCAGCAGUGGGGGAUAUUGCACAAUGGGGGAAACCCUGAUGCAGCGACGCCGCGUGGGUGAAGAAGCGCCUCGGCGCGUAAAGCCCUGUCAGCAGGGAAGAAAAUGACGGUACCUGAAGAAGAAGCCCCGGCUAACUACGUGCCAGCAGCCGCGGUAAUACGUAGGGGGCAAGCGUUAUCCGGAUUUACUGGGUGUAAAGGGAGCGUAGACGGCGAUACAAGUCUGAAGUGAAAGCCCGGGGCUCAACCCCGGGACUGCUUUGGAAACUGUGUUGCUGGAGUGCUGGAGAGGCAAGCGGAAUUCCUAGUGUAGCGGUGAAAUGCGUAGAUAUUAGGAGGAACACCAGUGGCGAAGGCGGUCUGCUGGACAGCAACUGACGGUGAGGCGCGAAAGCGUGGGGAGCAAACAGGAUUAGAUACCCCUGUA
This 446-nucleotide ribosomal RNA is filed under the name uncultured bacterium. RNAcentral describes it as "bacterial SSU rRNA". It matches the Rfam family "Bacterial small subunit ribosomal RNA", at positions 329 to 792 of the family's 1533-position model. The record is from RNAcentral.